RNAcentral lists this ribosomal RNA (255 nucleotides) under uncultured bacterium. Its description in RNAcentral is "partial 16S ribosomal RNA". It matches the Rfam family "Bacterial small subunit ribosomal RNA", at positions 524 to 776 of the family's 1533-position model. The record is from RNAcentral.
UACGUAGGGUCCGAGCGUUGUCCGGAAUUACUGGGCGUAAAGAGCUCGUAGGCGGUGUGUCGCGUCGGCCGUGAAAACCUGGGGCUCAACUCUGGGCGUGCGGUCGAUACGGGCAUCACUUGAGUUCGGCAGGGGAGACUGGAAUUCCUGGUGUAGCGGUGAAAUGCGCAGAUAUCAGGAGGAACACCGGUGGCGAAGGCGGGUCUCUGGGCCGAUACUGACGCUGAGGAGCGAAAAGCAUGGGUAGCGAACAGG